UGUUUACAUGGUAGGGCCUGGUCACCACAAAAUAUAUGAUAUCUGCAAUAUCUUCGGGCCUCAAGGGUUCAAAUCCUUUGUAUACAC
Molecule: transfer RNA, 87 nt
Filed under: Maribacter cobaltidurans
Lineage: Bacteria; Pseudomonadati; Bacteroidota; Flavobacteriia; Flavobacteriales; Flavobacteriaceae
Description: tRNA-His
Source: RNAcentral